CCUGCAUUACACUUCAUCCAAUCAGAUGCUGCGUGCACCAACACCUCGUUUGAAUACAGGGAAUAUAAAUAGACACCACUCUGUUACCAACCAGCUUUCUCUUUCAUUCCAGUGUACUGGGAAACUAUGUCCAUCGUGGCUGAGCGUUCUCCUAAAUCUAUCUUUGCCAAGAAGGACAUCAGGAAAGCCACUUCCAAAACAGAAAAGGGGAAGAUGUAAAAGAGACGCCCUGAGACAAGUUACGCCACCUAUGUUUACAAGAUCAUGCCUUCCUCCUGGCCCGCCCACCAAGCGCUCCAUCAUCUCGUCCAGUGAGAUCCAGGACUCUGUGUGCACGCUGCUGCUGGGGGAGAGUGACAAGCACACCGUGCCCGAGGCCAGCAAGGCCGUCAUCAGUUGGUUUCGAGACCAGAUGUGGAGAAGGGGUCUCUUAAAGACUCAAGCAUUUUUGGAGCAAGACCAUGGGAAUAGAUUGGGAGCCAGCAAGACACAGAAAGGGGAGAAGAGCUGUGGAUCUGUUUUUAGACGCACCCCUGAGGGCAGAGUGAAAGAUGUGCUCUGGAAGGGCCGCUUGCUACAAGAGCUUUGAAGGGACAGGGCCUGGGCUGUGCAGCCCGUUUAUCCUUCCAACCUCACUAAUCAGCUAAGGGUCCAGGUGUGGACGAGCAAACGGAGCGUUUCCGGGGGAAGGAUGUGCCUGCGCUUCCUAGUUGCCGUAGAAACGUGACGUCAUCGUAGCGACCGUGACGACUUUUUAAUAGAGACGGAGGGGCUCUGGCAAGAGCAGGUCUCACCUUCAGCUCUUCAUGCCAGUGGCCAAGCUCCUAUCAGGCGUCUGAAGGAGGCAGCUUCUGAGGAUCUGUGCCCUGCUGGCUGCUGAACCAUCUGCUCCACAUUGAAGGGCAGCCAUCCUCAGGAGACCCCAGCACUUCACAUCCCUGCUGGGAUAUGACUUCUGACUCGAUGGACCGUCAGAGGAGGGCGUGGACUCUGAGCCUCAGAAGCAGGAGCUGACAGAGAAGAACCAAGUGUGCUGGCGCGUGUGCAGACAGGUUCCUGGAGCAAGAGUGAGGAGAUCAGGGUCCCAUCACUGGGACACUUUAGUGCAGCUCUUCAUGCCGCUGGCCGAGCUCCUAUCAGGCGUCUGAAAGAGGCAGCUUCUGAGGAUCUGUGUCCUCAUGGCUGCUGAACCAUCUGCUCCAGAUUCAAGGGCAGCCGUCCUCAG
Molecule: long non-coding RNA, 1225 nt
Filed under: Equus caballus (horse)
Lineage: Eukaryota; Metazoa; Chordata; Mammalia; Perissodactyla; Equidae
Description: lncRNA (ENSECAG00000034042.3)
Source: RNAcentral